UACGUAGGGUGCAGCGUUAAUCGGAAUUACUGGGCGUAAAGCGUGCGCAGGCGGUCUGCUAAGAGAGGUGUGAAAUCCCCGGGCUUAACCUGGGAACUGCGCUUCUAACUGGCAGGCUUGAGUGUGGCAGAGGGGGGUGGAUUCCACGUGUAGCAGUGAAAUGCGUAGAUAUCGUAAGGAAGACCAGUGGCGAAGGAGACCAGGG
Molecule: ribosomal RNA, 205 nt
Filed under: uncultured bacterium
Lineage: Bacteria
Description: partial 16S ribosomal RNA
Rfam family: Bacterial small subunit ribosomal RNA
Source: RNAcentral